RNAcentral lists this long non-coding RNA (604 nucleotides) under Pan troglodytes (chimpanzee). Its description in RNAcentral is "long non-coding RNA NONPTRT010004". The record is from RNAcentral. Lineage: Eukaryota; Metazoa; Chordata; Mammalia; Primates; Hominidae.
GUGCAGUGGUGCGAUCUCGGCUCACUGCAAGCUCCGCCUCCCGGGUUCACGCCAUUCUCCUGCCUCAGCCUCCCGAGUAGCUGGGACUACAGGCGCCCGCCACCAUACCCAGCUAAUUUUUUGUAUUUUUAGUAGAGAUGGGGUUUCACCGUGCCUUCAAUCUCUUGCUUCGGCACCUGGGUGGCUUUCCGCCCACAGCAGCAAGAGUCAUUGUUAGUAAUAAGUCUUAAUACUGUACCAUAAGGUUGCAUCUUGUUUAUUUUUUUGAGACAGAGUCUCACUCUGUCUCCCAGGCUGGAGUGCGGUGGUGCAAUCUUGGCUCGCUGCAGCCUCAACCUCCCAGGCUCAAGCGAUCCUCCCACCUCAGCCUCCCAAGUAGCUUGGGACCACAGGCGAGAGCCACAACACUCAGCUAAUUUUUGUACUUUUUGUAGAGACAGGGUUUCACCAUGUAGCCUAGGCUGAUCUCAAACUCCUGAGCUCAACUGAUGCAUUUGCCUUGGCCUCCCAAAGUGCUGGGAUUACAGGUGUGAGCCACCGCACCUGGCUACAUCUCAUUUAUUGAGUACUCGUUUAUAUCCUCUAGUGAACACCUAAUAUAGAU